UUAUUGGUUCCUCGCAACGGUGUUCAGCUUACUUGGUCAGGUUCGGAAGAAAGCAGCCUGAGUUGAAAUUUCUGUGUGCCGAGGGGUGCUGGUAACACC
RNAcentral lists this signal recognition particle RNA (99 nucleotides) under Haemophilus parahaemolyticus HK385. Its description in RNAcentral is "Bacterial signal recognition particle RNA". It matches the Rfam family "Bacterial small signal recognition particle RNA". Rfam says of the family: The signal recognition particle (SRP) is a universally conserved ribonucleoprotein involved in the co-translational targeting of proteins to membranes. Lineage: Bacteria; Pseudomonadati; Pseudomonadota; Gammaproteobacteria; Pasteurellales; Pasteurellaceae. The record is from RNAcentral.